Molecule: long non-coding RNA, 324 nt
Organism: Stomoxys calcitrans (stable fly)
Lineage: Eukaryota; Metazoa; Arthropoda; Insecta; Diptera; Muscidae
Exons: 3
Source: RefSeq, a predicted model, not a curated record
UUCAUUUUGUUUGACGACGAGCAAAAAGUCAAUUUGAAGCAAGUAUUAGGCACUAAAAAUACUAUAAAUGCAAAUUACCUUUAAUGGCUGCAAGUCAGUGUUGAAUCAAAAAUUCACCAUCCACAUCAGCAUUAGCUCAAGCCAAUCGCAAUCCAAAAUCGAAAUGUGUGCUGAACGAAUUAAACGUAAAAUUCGGUGUACUAAACUUUCAAAACCCAGCCUGACAGAAUAGGAUGAUGAGGAAUUGAUAUACUCAGAUCUAUAGCCAGUAUAUAUAAUCUAAACUGAAGAACUAGCAUGAAAGUCGACUCCUUGUAAAUUAAA